AGAGUUUGAUCCUGGCUCAGAGUGAACGCUGGCGGUAGGCCUAACACAUGCAAGUCGAACGGCAGCACGGUAAGAGCUUGCUCUUAUGGGUGGCGAGUGGCGGACGGGUGAGGAAUACAUCGGAAUCUACCUUUUGGUGGGGGAUAACGUAGGGAAACUUACGCUAAUACCGCAUACGCCCUUCGGGGGAAAGCCGGGGACCAGCAAUGGCCUGGUGCUGAUAGAUGAGCCGAUGUCGGAUUAGCUAGUUGGUGAGGUAAUGGCUCACCCAAGGCGACGAUCCGUAGCUGGUCUGAGAGGAAUGAUCAGCCACACUGGAACUGAGACACGGUCCAGACUCCUACGGGGAGGCAGCAGUGGGGGAAUAUUGGACAAUGGGCGCAAGCCUGAUCCAGCCAUACCGCGUGGGUGAAGAAGGCCUUCGGGUUGUAAAGCCCUUUUGUUGGGAAAGAAAAGCAUUCGGUUAAUACCCGGGUGUUCUGACGGUACCCAAAGAAUAAGCACCGACUAACUUCGUGCCAGCAGCCGCGGUAAUACGAAGGGUGCAAGCGUUACUCGGAAUUACUGGGCGUAAAGCGUGCGUAGGUGGUGGUUUAAGUCCGUUGUGAAAGCCCUGGGCUCAACCUGGGAAUUGCAGUGGAUACUGGAUCACUAGAGUGUGGUAGAGGAUAGUGGAAUUUCCGGUGUAGCAGUGAAAUGCGUAGAGAUCGGAAGGAACAUCUGUGGCGAAGGCGACUAUCUGGGCCAACACUGACACUGAGGCACGAAAGCGUGGGGAGCAAACAGGAUUAGAUACCCUGGUAGUCCACGCCCUAAACGAUGCGAACUGGAUGUUGGGUUCAACUUGGAACCCAGUAUCGAAGCUAACGCGUUAAGUUCGCCGCCUGGGGAGUACGGUCGCAAGACUGAAACUCAAAGGAAUUGACGG
This 928-nucleotide ribosomal RNA is filed under the name uncultured bacterium. RNAcentral describes it as "bacterial SSU rRNA". It matches the Rfam family "Bacterial small subunit ribosomal RNA", at positions 8 to 916 of the family's 1533-position model. The record is from RNAcentral.